Molecule: ribosomal RNA, 465 nt
Filed under: uncultured bacterium
Lineage: Bacteria
Description: partial 16S ribosomal RNA
Rfam family: Bacterial small subunit ribosomal RNA
Source: RNAcentral
CCUACGGGUGGCAGCAGUAGGGAAUCUUCCACAAUGGACGAAAGUCUGAUGGAGCAACGCCGCGUGAGUGAAGAAGGGUUUCGGCUCGUAAAGCUCUGUCGGUAGUGAAGAAAGUUACAGUUAGUGACCGGCCUUUCUUUGCCGGUAAUUACUUAGAAAGUCCCGGCUAACUACGUGCCAGCAGACGCGGUAAUACGUAGGUGGCAAGCGUUGUCCGGAUUUAUUGGGCGUAAAGCGAGUGCAGGCGGUUCAAUAAGUCUGAUGUGAACGCCGUGGGCUCAACCUGAGAAUUGCAUCAGAAACUGUUGAACUGGAGUGCAGAAGAGGAGAGUGGAACUCCAUGUGUAGCGGUGGAAUGCGUAGAUAUAGGGAAGAACACCAGUGGCGAAGGCGGCUCUCUGGUCUGCAACUGACGCUGAGGCUCGAAAGCAUGGGUAGCGAACAGGAUUAGAUACCCUGGUAGUC